GUGGGGAAUCUUGCGCAAUGGGCGAAAGCCUGACGCAGCCAUGCCGCGUGAAUGAUGAAGGUCUUAGGAUUGUAAAAUUCUUUCACCGGGGACGAUAAUGACGGUACCCGGAGAAGAAGCCCCGGCUAACUUCGUGCCAGCAGCCGCGGUAAUACGAAGGGGGCUAGCGUUGCUCGGAAUUACUGGGCGUAAAGGGCGCGUAGGCGGACAGUUUAGUCAGAGGUGAAAGCCCAGGGCUCAACAUUGGAAUUGCCUUUGAUACUGGCUGUCUUGAGUACGGGAGAGGUGAGUGGAACUCCGAGUGUAGAGGUGAAAUUCGUAGAUAUUCGGAAGAACACCAGUGGCGAAGGCGACUCACUGGCCCGUUACUGACGCUGAGGCGCGAAAGCGUGGGGAGCAAACAGGAUUAGAAACCCCAGUAGUCC
RNAcentral lists this ribosomal RNA (425 nucleotides) under uncultured bacterium. RNAcentral describes it as "partial 16S ribosomal RNA". It matches the Rfam family "Bacterial small subunit ribosomal RNA", at positions 354 to 796 of the family's 1533-position model. The record is from RNAcentral.